Molecule: long non-coding RNA, 200 nt
Filed under: Hordeum vulgare
Lineage: Eukaryota; Viridiplantae; Streptophyta; Magnoliopsida; Poales; Poaceae
Description: long non-coding RNA (HVUL_LNC018923)
Source: RNAcentral
UCUUCCUCCUUCUUCCUCCUUCUCCUUCUCCUUCUUCUUCUCCUUCUCCUUCUUCUUUUCUUCUUCUCCUCCUCUUCCUUCUUCUUCUUCUCCUCCUCCUCCUCCUCCUUAUUUUACUUCUUCUUCUCUAUCUCUUCUUCAACGUAGCUUAGACUCAUCCAAGAAAGGCUAAAUUGGCUAAUUAUCCUACGAAAUGACAU